GACGAACGCUGGCGGCGUGCUUAACACAUGCAAGUCGAACGGGCCUGCCUUCUUUUUUGGGGGGUGGGUUGAGUGGCGAACGGGUGAGUAUCACGUGAGUAACCUGCCCUUCGGUCCUGGAUAACCGCUUGAAAGGGCGGCUAAUACGGGGUGGUCCGGUUGGUCCGCAUGGGCUGGUCGGGAUAGAUUCACUGUUUUUGGUGUUUCGGCGGGGGAUGGGCUCGCGGCCUAUCAGCUUGUUGGUGGGGUGAUGGCCUACCAAGGCGGUGACGGGUAGCCGGCCUGAGAGGGUGGGCGGCCACACUGGGACUGAGAUACGGCCCAGACUCCUGCGGGAGGCAGCAGUGGGGGGUAUUGCACAAUGGGCGGAAGCCUGAUGCAGCGACGUCGCGUGAGGGAUGGAGGCCUUCGGGUUGUGAACCUCUGUUUCCGGUGGUGAAGGCCCUGUCCGUGUGGUGGGGUUGACGGUAGCCGGGGAUGAAGCGCCGGCUAACUACGU
This 499-nucleotide ribosomal RNA is filed under the name uncultured bacterium. Its description in RNAcentral is "partial 16S ribosomal RNA". It matches the Rfam family "Bacterial small subunit ribosomal RNA", at positions 28 to 506 of the family's 1533-position model. The record is from RNAcentral.